AGCGAACGCUGGCGGUAGGCCUAACACAUGCAAGUCGAACGGCAGCACCGUAAGAGCUUGCUCUUACGUGUGGCGCGUGGCGGACGGGGGCGGUAUACAUCGGAAUCUACUUUUUCGUGUGGGCUAACGUAGGGAAACUUACGCUGAUACCACAUACGACCUCCGGGUGAAAGCAGGGGAUCUUCUGACCUUGCGCGAUUGAAUGAGCCGAUGUCGGAUUAGUUAGUUGGCGGGGUAUAGGACUACCAAGGCGACGAUCCGUAGCUGGUCUGAGAGGAUGAUCCAGCACACGGGCAGUGAGGCUGGGCACAGACUCUGACGCGAGGACGCAGUGGGGAAUAUUGGACAAUGGGGGAGAGCCGGAUCCAGCCAUACCGGGGGGGUGAAGAAGGCGUUCGGGCUGGAGAACCCUUUUGUUGUGAAAGAAAAACAGCAGUUUAAUACCCCGCUGUCCUGACGGUACCCAAAGAAGAAGCACCGGCUAACUUCGUG
Molecule: ribosomal RNA, 492 nt
Filed under: uncultured bacterium
Lineage: Bacteria
Description: partial 16S ribosomal RNA
Rfam family: Bacterial small subunit ribosomal RNA
Source: RNAcentral